UGGAGUAUAGCCAAGCGGUAAGGCAUCGAUUUUUGGUAUCGAUAUUCAGAGGUUCGAAUCCUUUUACUCCAG
RNAcentral lists this transfer RNA (72 nucleotides) under Mesostigma viride. RNAcentral describes it as "tRNA-Gln". It matches the Rfam family "tRNA". From Rfam's summary of the family: Transfer RNA (tRNA) molecules are approximately 80 nucleotides in length. Their secondary structure includes four short double-helical elements and three loops (D, anti-codon, and T loops). The record is from RNAcentral. Lineage: Eukaryota; Viridiplantae; Streptophyta; Mesostigmatophyceae; Mesostigmatales; Mesostigmataceae.